This 568-nucleotide long non-coding RNA is filed under the name Zostera marina. Its description in RNAcentral is "long non-coding RNA (ZMAR_LNC001170)". Lineage: Eukaryota; Viridiplantae; Streptophyta; Magnoliopsida; Alismatales; Zosteraceae. The record is from RNAcentral.
UGGUUAUGGAAGCCCAUCGAGAGAAGAUACAAGUGUUUGUCCACAUACAAAAUCGUAUUGCCAAAGCGGUAAGUAGUUUGAAACAUAUAUAUAUAUGAGACAUUCUAAUAUUUUUGGAAGAUAAAUUAGCAAUAUUGUUAAAAUAAAUGUUAUGUGAUUAAGAGUGAGCAUGAGUCCGAGUCUGAACUGGACCCGUCUUGUUUUGAGGGCGUUCGGGGCGACUUUUUUGUCCUGUUAUCGUUCCGGACAUAAAAUGGGGUGAGUACGGAUCACGCAAAAUGAAAAUUUUCCAAAUUGUCCCCGUCUUUCAAGUCCGUCCGGUGUCGAGACGGUCCAACUUUUAUCCUUCAAUGACUCGUCUCCUCGCCAAAUCAGAUUAUAUCAUUUAAAUUUUUGCAGGUUAUUGAAGACAAAAGCACUAAAAUAAAAUGAAAGUGACGCGGUUCAAAUUUCAACGUUUGAUUUUUAUUAUCUAAGGGGUCAUUUGUGUUAUUGGGCUUUACCUUUAUGAUAAAUCUAAAUACCAUUGUUUUAACUUUUUUUUUUUUUUUUUUACUAUUGAAAAGGC